AAGUCGUAACAAGGUUUACCGUAGGUGGAACCGGCUGGCCUAGGAAUGGAAAUAAGUUCAGGAAAUAAUCCGGCUUAGGACCGGAAGUCGGGGUCAUUGAUCCUAGUCAAAGGGGAGUUAGGGGUAGAGCGAACAGUCCGGCUGCCUCCCGAAAUGUCUUACAUGCCCCCCACAGCCUGAAGGCCGAAUUACAACCCUUGAUUAUCUACACUUGUUGCUUUGGGGUGCUCAAGUGCCCCAGAGGACCCAAAUCUCUUGCAUUUAGUGACGUCUGAGUACUAUAUAAUAUUUAAAAA
RNAcentral lists this unclassified non-coding RNA (296 nucleotides) under plant metagenome. RNAcentral's name for it is "partial contains small subunit ribosomal RNA and internal transcribed spacer 1". The record is from RNAcentral.